GAACCAAUACAAUAUCUGAAAAUAACUGGGAAAGAAACACUAGUGGAACAUACUCCAUUAGCUCAUCCCUACAUCUAAGCUAGAAUAUAAAAUAAAGGCAUCCUCAAAAGCAAGAGGACCUACCAAGUCCGGAUGAAUGCUCCACGUCCGGAUAACUUCAGCGUAGUCUCGUAAGCUCUAGUGUUCACCUGCACAUGCACCUAAAAGUAGAGAGUUAUAUGGAUUAGUACACACUUGUACUAAGUAUGGAUAUAUGCAAUCACACACCAAGGACAUGCAUGAUUAAGAAGAUCUCUCUCCUAAAGACAUGAGUUAUGAAAAGUCAAGUCAGUGGACUUGCCAAAUCGGAUUAGAAAGUCAUGCUAUGAGAGUAACAUGCAUCAUCGUAAAUAUCAUUUUGCAAACAACACAUAACAUAUUGCAUAUAUCAGACCACAUAGUUCAUAUCAUUCCUUCAUAUGCCAUGAUACCUUGGAAUCAUGGACUUGACAUUAAGACUUCCCAAAAUGAGGGCUCAACAUAUGGGACCUCAACUAGGGAGACUCAUUUAGCAAACACAGAGUCUGCUUCAUUCAUUCAUACGUACUUCAUUUUCAUUCAUUCAUAUACUAGUGCAAACACCAGCUAUACCUAGGAUGUAAUUUAAGACUUUCAUCGGGUUUGCUGUGCAAUGACCAAGAAUAACCUAGUGUCAUUACUUAACUCUAGAUCACCUCUUGAUUAUCCUAUCCUAUUCUCUCUUAACAUCUUUUCGUUUCAUCUUUACUCACCUUUCAUUAUUUGUUCAUCGUAUAACAUACAUAUGCUAUCUUGGAGUUUACAUUGAGGAACAUUGAUUCUAGGCAUAGACACAACUUGUCUCACUUGUGCUAGCCUAUCCUCAUGUAGCCACUCUUUCUUUGCUUAAUCAUCAUUUAGUAUAUAUAUACUCUCUUAGAAAUUUCAUUUAGUGACAAUGAUUUUUAGGCGUAGAUGCAGCUUAUCUCACUUGCACUAGCCUAUAGUUAUGUAGUCACUCUUUUCUUUACAUAUUAACUAUGAUUUUUUUUUGGAGUAUGCUUGAGAUUUGACUUUACAUCAUUCUACACUCUCCUUUCGUGAAUGUUCAUUUAGGAGGUUCACAUCAUUUCAUUACAUCCAUCUUAUGUUCACUAACUUUUAAACGUACGAUGGACUUAUGGAUCCAUACGCACAAUGCAUGAGGCUUCAUUCAUAAUUCGUCUAAGUGACCCAUACUUAUCUAAGAUUAUGUGGUACAAGACUUAUGCAUCUUGUUGGUAUGCCAAGAUCUUGAUUUUGACUCUUAGAGGCAGCAUUUAUAAAAUAUUUAUUCACGUAUGACUUAUGUGUCAAUAUGGAAUUGGGCAAGGGAGCUUGAUUUCGAAUUCCUUGAGCAACACUUAAUAUUAUAUUAAACUUGGUGAUUGCAUUUUUCAGAUUUGGGGGACCCUAGGUCGAUCCCCAUCAUCCCUAUAAUAUUUUCUUUCUUUUACCUCCUCUUUUUCUCGUUUAAGGUAAAGAGAUUGUGGGAUCAGUCCCCCACAAACUCAUUCUUUUUCUCUUAAUCUUUCUCUUAACUUUAUCCAAGAGGUUGUGGGCUCAAUCCCCACUUCCCUCAUUUUAUUUUUCUCUUUUAUAUUUCUCCUAACUCUCUCAUCUAUUCAAGAAGUUGUGGGUUCAAUCUCCACUCACCAAAUUUAAUUUUCUUUUCCUUUUUCUCAUGAACUUUUUAUGUAAUUUGCAUUUGGUGAGGUCUUGGGUUCAAUUCCCAAUGACCUCGUAAUUUUAAAAAAAAUUAAAACAUACCUCAUAGUUUAUAUAUUGAUUCUUGGAGUAAUUCGGGUGACAUUUUUUCAACAACAUUACCCUUAUAUGAACAUCACACUUUUAACAUUUACAUAUACGAAAACACAAUAUUUAUAACACACAAAUUUCAGGCAACAACAUAGUUAAUUUACAACACACCCAUGCUCAAACAAUUAACGUAAAACACUUUUCCGGAAUACAUCUUUCAUUCCUUACAUAAUUUCCAAAUACACAUUCAAUACAUAAUCACAACCAGACCUAAUAUUAUCUUCCAGAAGACAUACCAACGCAUGCUUUGAAUCUUUCAAAGUAUCUAAUGACAGGGGCAUGCAACGGGGACAACCUUAGUUUUUUAAUUGCGAUUAAAAUGAACCUUAAGGGUCUCUUGGAAAAGGGGCCAAGAGAGAAGAAAACUCAUACCUUAAUGUCGUUCAACACUUAUUUCAGUGCUGCCUAUUCCCACGACACCACUGCCUCACCACCAAAAUCCAAUCCGUCGAGAAGAAUGUUGUUGAUUUUCAUUUUUAGCUUAACUUUUUGUUUGAGUUUUUGUGUGUACGUUCUUCAAGAGUUUUUGUGGGCCACACUUGAUAAAAUCUUAUAUUAUAAUUUGCUUUUGGCCACGCUAUUGUGAAGGUAUAUAUGCAUUAAUUAAGCAUUUUUCCGAAGUAUUUUGUGUGGAAGAAAACAACACUAUUGACUCCUUCAAACAUUUGGUGCUCAAUAUCCUUCAUUAAAAUAAUACAAUUGUGGUACCCCAAUUUGAAUUAGGUUUGCAUAUCUUAGAUCAUUGUAUUUGACAUUUACUAGAUUGAAGUCUCAUUGAGCUAUUGUAUGUUCUCCUAGAUAUAUAAUUUUUAAACUUUAUUAACUAAUAAUAUAGAAUAUUUUUGUAUUUUGUAUUUGGAUAGUUAUAUUUGUCAUUAAAUGCUAGAUAAAACGUAGUCUUAUGGAAGUGCGUGAAAAUGAAGUGUUACAUUGGAAAAAUUCUAGAUACUUAACCAUUCUAAAUUCCUCCAUUUUGUUUUCAAAUACUAUCUUUUUAAUUUGUGAUAAAAGUUUUAGAAAAUAUUUUUUAAUUUGGGGUAAAUUAUUAGUUUCAAUUCUGAACUAUUGACAAUCUUUAUAAUACUCAUCUACUUGACUCGCUAAACUUAUAUACAAUCCGAUAUGCCAAAUAACAUAGGAAGUACUCUCAAACUCUUGUAGAGGCUUGACACUCUUAAUAAGAAGUUGAUAUUCAUGUUGAAAACACACCUAGAUUUGGCACGAAUUUGAGGGUGUAUUUCACUCAUGUUGCUAGAUCGUGGUGUGUUUAAGUUUCAUUAGUCAAGUAAAAAGGUGUUUUUAAGACUGUCAAUAGUCUGAAACAGAACUAAUAAUUCACGUCAAAUUUAGAAAUAUUUUCAAUAUUUUCUCUUUUUAUAGGGGUAAUUAUAUUUGUUGUUCAAUGCCCUCGUAUAAUAGGAGUGGUAUUAUUUUGACAGAAUUUACCUAUGGCAAGAGGGAAAUUGGUGAAAAUGACUGUUACCGAUCAAGAACAUUUAAAUCACUAAGCAACUGAGGUAUUAAACCAUUUGCCAUAAUUUUAAGGAAAAUUUAGCUAACUAGUCAAAAAAAUUAACUUAUUUAGUGAUAAUAUCCAUAAAUUAAUAAUAUUACUAAAUAUGUCAAAAAUGUCAUAAUUUUAAAAAUAAAUAAUUAUUCUGAUAUUAUUAAUAUUUUCUCUCUCAUUAUUUACACCUUUUUUUCUCUCUCAUAUAUUACACAUUUUCCUUAAGCUUAUUAAUUUCUCUCUCUUUUCUUAAGCUUAUUAAUUUCUCUCUCUUAUUUUCUUCCUAAUCAAAUCCCCAGAUUUCUCUCUCUUUUCUUAUUCUUCUUUUCAAUUUCUCUAUCUAACAUUCUUCCAAAUCAAUUUCACAGAUUUUCGAUUCAAUAUAUUAAUAUUUUCUAUUAUUCUCAUUUAAUUUCGUUGCAAAAUUUGAUAUGAAGAUUAACAUUGAUUUGGGUAUUAUUAUUUUUUUAGAUUCCUUAUUUAUUUACUUACUGAUUUUAGUAUUUUUUUAAUUUUUUAAAUUUUGUUGUUGUUCUUAAAACAUUUUUUAGGAUUUGAGACUACAUAAUUCUCUCUUCAAUGGACGUUUUCAAGAGAGAAACUAGAGGUAUUGGACAAAAUAAUCAAAGUUCUUCCGUUUUUUAUCAUUUAAUUUUUUUUCACUCAAGAAUUAAACAACAAUAUAGGUUUCGCUUCUAAAUCUAAGGAGGAUAUACGACGGGGAAAAAUGCCUGAAUCUGUCGAUGUGCAAAAUUCCACACAAAUUUUUUUCACUCAAGAAUUAAACAACAAUAUAGAUUUCGCUUCUAAAUCUAAGGAGGAUAUACGACGGGGAAAAAUGCCUGAAUCUGUCGAUGUGCAAAAUCCCACACAAAUUAAUAACCAUGAAGUUGAAGAAGACCAAUUUGUUGGAGAAGAGUUUUUUUUUUUUGCAUGUUCUGUGUCUUGCAUGUUUAAUUUAAUUUGUCUAGCAAUUUUUAAGAUUCAAAAAAAUUCAUGUUACAAUGCGUUUGGAAGUAUAUAUGAAAUUUUUAUUAUGUUAUAGUUAGUAUUUAUUUUUGUAUUUUAUAUAUUUAUUGUAUUUUGUGUUCUAUUUUUUUUUUUGUGUGUGUUAGUUAUGUCAAUGUAACACAUUAUAUGAGUUUGAUUGUGUAUAUUUCAUAGUUUUGAUGUUUUUUGUAUUCAUAAAUUUGGAAGUGUAUAUUGAAUUUUGUUGUUGUUUUAGUCAGUAUGUAUUUUUGUAUUUCAUUGUUAUAUUGUAUUUUGUAUCCAUAGAUUUGGAAUCGUAUUUCAUUUAUUUAAUUUAAUUUGUAUUCUGUUUUUUUCUGAUAGUUAUGUCAAUGUACCACAGUUAGUAUUUAUUUUUGUAUUUCAUAGUUUUAUUAUUUUUUGUAUUCAUAAAUUUGGAAGUAUAUAUUGAAUUUUAAUACUGUUUUAGUCAGUAUAUAUUUAUACAAUUAAUAGUUGUAUUCAUUCAAAAAUUAUGUUGCAUUGUUUCUGAAUUUGACAUUUUUUUUAAUUUGUAUUUAUUCUAAAAGUAUGUCAACUAGUUAUGUAUUUUAUUUAAGAAUGAGUACACCAAAUAUUCAAUUAUUUCUUUUCAAUUUUAUAUUUCAUUCACUUUUUCAUCAUACUAAUUUUUUGUAUUUUAUAUAUUAUUAUACAAAAUUCAAAAUAAAAACUGGAAUAAAUAGAAAUACAAAUAAAAUACAUAUUGAAAUGAAUACAUACAAGAAUUUCGAAGAAUAAAAUAACUAUAUAGGGAAAAAAAUAUAUAAAAAUGCAAAUACAUUUCUUAAAUGACUAUAUAGAUAAAUUUGGCAUAUUUAUUGGAAUGAAUAUAAAUUAUAAAAAAAACUAUAAUAAAUAUAAAUAGAAUAUAUUUUGGAAGGAAUAUAAUUUUAAAAAGGUAAAAAUUUUGGAGAGAAAAAAAAAUUAAAUUUUAUUUGAAAAUGUAACUGAUGAGAAAAUUAAGGAUGCUUACCUUUUUUUGAAAUAUUCUCUCCCUUAAUUUUAUCCCUUUUGUUAUUAAAUAAAUAUAUUCUUUAAAUAAAAACAAAUAAUAAAAACAUUAAUAAGAUACAUAACAAACUAAAAUAUGACAUUUUUACUAAAUAUUGAAAGUGUUGCUAAUGAGCCUUUUUAAAUGCUAAAAUAUUGACAUUUUGAAAAAUUCAUGGUACCCUAAUCUACUCCAACUUUUUUUUUUUAUCAUCAAUUUAAAUAGGAAAACUAGCAGAAAUAUCACUAGUUUGGAAGCAAAUUACUUAAGUAUACUUUAGUUUACAUAUUAUGAAUCUUACCAGAAUUUGAUGCAUCCGGAUAUGUCCAGAUACAUACAUCUCUAGAUAUUUCAGGUCAAAAUUAGGUAUAAUUUGUUCUUUAUACAUUGUAUUUCGUAAAUUCGCAUGUAUAUUUAUAAGUAAACAAAUCUUGUUCACCUCCUUCUCAUUCCACUUGUCAAUUUCCUCUGUAUCUUGUAUCUCAAAUACAUGUAAAUUGCGCGAAAUUCAUACAGAUACAUGUAUCUAAUGUGUAGCGAGGGUGAUUCGCAUGCAAGACUAUCUCCCCCCCCCCCCCUAUCUAGCUCAUUUCUCUUCCUAAUUUAGCGUAUCUGGUAGAAAUACAUAUGUAUCUAGGUGGUUUCCCUCAAAAUAUGAUAUGAAACUAUUAAUUGGUGGUAAAAUACGUAAUUAUUUAAAAUUAUAGAUAAAAUUAGUAUAUAUAGUUUAAAUAUAUGUUUAAUAACAUAGUUUUCCAUUAAUUAUAGUUUAAAUAUCGUUAUAAUGGAAGAGGUAUAUUUAAACCAAAAUUAUACCACGUGAGGAUAUAAUUGGAUCAACAAAUAUAAGGAGUGGUAUUUUUAAACUAGUUUUGAUAGUUGAAAGAUAUAUUUGAUCCUUUUCCAUUUUAUAAAUUCAUCCCUUUUAGAUACAAGGUAGAAUAUUAGUAAGCUUUGACCAUUGUUUGGUGGAAAAUAUUGCUAAUAUUAGAUUAAGAUUUGCAUCAAACUCGAUAAGGAUACAAAUUAAAAAUGAAUAUUCAAAUAUAUAUGGGUGUAUCUUUCUCAAUAUACAAUAGAAAAUUUUUAAUCAAUAGUAAAAUAUAUAAUUAUUGGAAAUUAUAGAUAGAAUUAGUAUAUAUGAUAAGUCUAUAUAUGUUUAAUAAGAUAAUUUUCCCAUUUAAAUAUGAUCUAAAGGUACUCUUUAUUAUAAUGAGAGAUGUGUAUUUAAACCAAAACAAUAACAUAUGAGUGUAUACUUAUACCAACAAAUACAUAUUUAAACUAUUUUAAUAGUUCAAAUUAAAGAAAUAUUUGACCCUUUUUCAUUUUGCAAAUUCAUCCUCUUAAAUACAAGGUAGAAUAUUAGUAAGCUUUGACCAUUAUUUGGAGGAAAAUACUACUAUUAAGAAUUGCGUCACAUUACAAAAAUGAAUAUUAAUUCAACUAUAUAUGUGGGGCUGCGUAAAGAAUAUAUUUUGAUAAAGGGAAAAAUUAGAUCUAGUGAGAUAUGGAAUUGAAUAGGAAAAACCAAUUGAGUGUCGUAAUGGUAAAGUGAAAUUGGGUCUUUAAAAGUGGGUAGGGUUGGAGAAAUGGAAGCAUGCUUCCACCAAUAAAUAGUAUUUUAUUGAUAAUUGCAUUGGUAGGUAAUGAGAAUAUUAAACCAUAUCUCAUAUUUUACUUUUUCAAAUGAUCGUAGUAUUAGGAUUAAUUUAAAUAUAUUUUAAAUUUGUUAUCUAUUGAUAUGAUAAGUUUCAAAAAAAACUUUUUCCAACUAGAGUUUGACAAAUGAGAUUAAAUUUUCCCUUAAUUAUUGAGCUCAUAUACAUCGAGUGUGUAACCUUAUUUUUUAUAUCAAUAUAUAAUAUUAGAUUAUAUUUACUUUUUUAAUAGGUGACAUGUUUUGUUUAAAAAUUAUUGAUCAAUUAUGAGAGGUUUACUAUAAGAUAUGUUAUUUGAGUAGCCUGAUAAUAUAAAAGUUUUCUUUUGAGUUUAAGAUAUAUACACUCACGUAAUAAUUUUUUUUAUCAUCACAUACUUAUUUUUUAUUUCUUAUAGCAGAUAAUCUAUCAUAUUUUAAAGUACAAAUCUCACCUAGUAGGAAAGCUUGUAUGUAAAAAAAAAAUACCUUAAGUGAUUGGUUGUGCAAAAAACAAUUUAUAAGUUAAUCUGUUUUCUUUGCAUAUUGUUGAUGUACACAAGUCAAACUCUAUUGUUUUUAUAUAGAGAACAUAUAUAGAUCAUUCUUUGAAGCCAAAAAGUUAUGUGAAACUUUAAUCAAAAAAGCUAAAUCUUGGAUAUUUGACAAAGGAAAAUGUUGUUAUAGAACAUAUCUAGUAAUAAUAUUCAAUAUGCCUCAUUCCUUGACUAAAAUUAUCGUUAACAUUCAAAUGCACAUUUAACAUUUUCAAACAUGAAAAUUCAAAUGUAUGAAUAAGAUGACUUCUUGCUUCCUACACCUUAAAGCAAAAUAGUCAAAGAAAUAUACCUACUUGACUCCUGAAUAUCACCUUUAUAUAUAGGCAUAAUCCUUCUACCCAAAAAAUAUUGCAAACACAAUACUUCAUUUUUUUUCUUAACAAAAAAUAAUAUGAAGUGCUUCAACUCUUGUUUGUUGGUUGUAAAUGUCUUGUUAAUAAUUCUCUUUGUUUUCUUUUCCAAUAACUUGAUGCAAGUUGAGGGGUUGAGACCUCUUAAAGAACAAACUUUCUCAUCAAUGGUAGAGAAUUUUGUUAUACAAAGAGCAUAUUCCGGGCCAAGUCAUCGUGGACGAGGUCACUAGGUAGCAAGUUCAAAGGUAUUGUUGAACAAUACUACAUAAACAUGGUGUUUAACUUGAGUUUAUCUAAUAUUUAUACUCUUCAAUUUUGAGUGUAUACAUGUAGACAUUUAAAUAGUAGAAAAUUCCGUUAUACAAAAAGCAUACUCGGGACAAGUUACCGUGGAUGUGGUCACUAGCUAGCAAGUUCAAAAUUGUUAAGCUAUUGUCUUUCUUCAAUACUUCAUUUUUGGUAUGUAUGUUUUAUGAUUUUCUUCUUAUAACCAUACACAAUUCAUUGAUACAAUGUAAAGAAUUGAUGAGACAAUAAUAUAACUAAAUUUAAUGUGCUUUGUACGAUUAUGCCAAUUUUUAUAAUGGAAAACCUUCUUGCUCAAAGGAAGAAGACCUACAAAAUAUAGGAUUUCAAAAACAACUUUCAGUAACUUCAAAGAGCGGUUUUACAUUAACAACUCCAUAACCUAAGCAACUAAUUACUAUGGGUGUCCAAUAUAUAUAUAAAAGAGAAUUCUAGACCCGCUUACGUCUCCUUCGUUCGUUAUUCUCUUACGAUUAACCUGCUCUGAUACCACUUGUCACGGCUUUUUUGAUUCUGACAAGACUCCCUGCGGCACUUGACGGUUUACUCAUGAUUCUUGCACGAUCUCGUAAACUCAAGUAAGCCUCUCACUGUUUGGAUCGCUAAGAGAAGUAAGAAGAAAGACAAUAGACAGAAUUUUGGAAGAGGGGACUUGUAUAGCAGCAUUUAUUUACUCUUAGUCAUUAGAGUAGUAUAAAUAGGAGAGUCAUUGUAUUUGUAAAUCAUCCAAUAAUCCAACAAAUAAUAUAAGUCCCUAAAUACAUGCACUCAAGACAUGUCUACAUUCCAAGAAUGUUUCUAACUCUUCCAAAAGGGACUCCUAGAUUUCUCUAGUCUGCCCCAAGGUUCUAGAGGGUCUGCACAAGCCUCUCCAAGGCUAAAGGCUGCUGCCCCUCCGUCUGCUGCAUGCCAGGACUGCCUGCCCCUUCGUCUGCUGAACUUUUGGGCCACCUGUCCCCAUUUGCAUGCUGCAAUCUGCUUGGAUAGGUGGCCAUCUGCCUGGAUAGAUGGCGGGACGUCACAAUCUCCCCCACCUAAUGAUGCGACGACCGCGUCGCAUUGCGACUGUAUCGGCGUCAAGUUCUGUCGUGCGAUCAUCAACUCGCGUACUCGAUUAAUCCCUUCGAGUAGCCUCUUCAUCGAUUGCCCGACCUUUCUCGAUCCGAUCUUUUGAACUUCUUCCUUCAUAGGAGGCAAGUGCCUCAGCGGCUUCUUUUUCAUCACGACAGAGUUCCUACUUGGAACCCUCAUGCGCGGUGGCAAAGUCUUUUCAGCACCAUUGUCUUCUCUCGAACUUGCAAUGGUUGCUGCCGAUGUUAACCUUUUCCUCUCGUCGAUUCACUCGAGCUUCAUGGCUGUUAGUCUAGUCUGUCCCUUCGUCGCCGAAGUGGCAGCACUCAAGGAAGACAGGGAGGUUGGUGGAUCCACAUCACUUUUGACCGGGAAAGGGAGGCCAGAGUCGAGACUCCCAAGCCACCUAUCUUUGAAGGCGUUCGCAACGCACAGAAGGUGGAGAAUUUCCUAUGGCACUUGGAGAAUUACUUCAAGUGUAUUCGGGUGCAAAGUGAUGUGAACAAGAUCAACACUGCGGUGUCGUAUCUUUCGAAGAUGGUCAUACUAUGGUGGAAACGUAAAGAGUCCGACGUCAGAAAGGGGAUAUGCACUUUGAACACAUGGGAGCAGUUCCGUGAGGAUUUCAAGAAGGCAUUUUAUCCCAACAAUGUCAUCUAUGAGGCAAAGCGCAAGUUUAGGGAGUUGAAACAAAAGGGCAGCAUACGCGCGUAUGUGCAGGAGUUCACCACCCUUACAUUUCAGAUUCCCAACCUCACGGAUGAAGACAUGUUGUUCCACUUCAUGGAUGGGCUGCAAAAUUGGGCCAGAACGGAGUUGGAGCGGCGACAGGUCCGGACUUUUGAUGAAGCCAUUAAGCAGGCCGAAGCCUUGACAGACUUCAGGCGAGAGAAGUCUCUUAGUGCCGAGGAAGACAACGAGGUAGAUAGUCAUGAUGAUAGUGGGGAAGAUUGUGGCGAAGGCGAGGAGCAACGGCCACAACCCAAGAGGCAUGACACCUACGAGUCCAACAGCAAGAGAUUCGAAGAUCGUGGCAACACGGUGAGGAAUCCGGAUGGUUGCUACAUAUGCAAAGGGUCGCAUAGCUAUAAAAAGUGCCCUCAACUGAAGAGUCUUGGUGCUAUCCUCCGUGAGCGGAAGAAAAAGGUAGCCCAAGAGGAAGAUGAAGUCGGGGAGACUAAGCCGUUGGGCUUGAUAAACCUAUGCGGAGCUAUCAUCGAGCAACCAUCGGAGGUGCCAAGGCAAGAGAAGCCAAGGCAAGCGCAGCCGAAGCAUGCUGAUCAGGGACUUGCGAAGUCUAUGGCAUGUGCUCAAUCUGUCGAGAUCACGAUCAAUGGGAAAAAUGCUCGUGCGUUGGUCGACACAGGUGCGGAGGUCAAUAUUAUGACCAAGACAGCAGCAACGAGGUUGGGGUUGCGAUAUAGUCCAUGCAACGCCCAAAUCAGGACUGUCAAUGCACCAUCGACUCCCAUAAUUAGAGUUGCGCACGGGGUGAACAUCACGGUAGGCGAUUGGCAAGGAAAAACCAAAUUCAUCAUCGCCCCCAUAAAUCUCUUUGAUAUUAUUCUUGGGCAGAAGUUCUUCCAGCAGUGCCAUGCGGUGAUCGAUCCUCAUCUCCAAAAAUUGACAAUCAUGGAGAAAGGAAGAGAAAUAUACAGUUCCCAUGGUAAAGGCACAAGCUACGGAGGGACAUACUAGACUAACAGCCAUGAAGCUCGAGUGGGUCGACGAGAGGAAGAGGUUAUCAUCGGCAGCAACUAUUGCAAGUUUGAGAGAAGACAGUGGUGCUGAAAAGACUUUGCCACCGCGCAUGAGGGUUCCAAGUAGGAACACUGCCGUGAUGAAAAAGACGCCAUCACAAAGUAGAAUUCUUUUUUAAUUUAUUUAUUUUCAUGACUAGCCUUCCCCUCCUCUGAGAAACCUAUAUAUAUAUAUAUAUAUAUAUAUAUAUAUAUAUAUAUAUAUAUAUAUAUAGAAGAGAAUUCUAGACCCGCUUACGUGACGCCAUCACAAAGUAGAAUUCUUUUUUAAUUUAUUUAUUUUCAUGACUAGCCUUCCCAUCCUCUGAGAAACCUUCGCAACUGUCACAACCAUAUUACAAAUUAAGCCUCCACCAAAUCUUCCAUAUGUAUAAAUAUCACCCCCCUUUGAAUUUUUUUAAACAAAUGAUCGCCAGUAGGAAGGAAUACUAUGCCAAACUUAAUUUUAACCAACUGAUACAAAAAUGAAAUUUUGGGUCAAAUUAUGUGAGUUAGUUGACCCAGAUGAAUAUAUAUAAGUUAUACCUUGAAAUUUUUCUUUUUAAUUAUGGAAUUGUGAAUGUUUCUCCUUUUAUCCUAUGUAUACUUGCAUUGUUGGAUGCAUUACUCUACAGUUUCUCCAUAGUCUUAUUUUACCUUUGGUGAUUCGAGUUUAAUCAUUUUUGUCUAGGGGUGGUACAAUAUAGAUUGAAGGUCAAUCUCAUUUAUUAGAGCUUUGAAUUGAUAUGUCAAGUACACAUUGUUGGAUUUUAAAAGAUGUGAAUGAAAUAUAAAGCAUUGUCAAUUUCAUGAAAAAUUAUUAUUUUUAUAAAAAGUUAUGACUUUUAUAAAAGAUUGCGGCUUUUAUGAAAAGUUUGUAACUUUUAUGAAAGGUCGUGACUUUUUCAAAGAGUUAGGACAUUUCUAAUAGGCACAAUAAACAUUUGUUCACGCUAACUUUUUUGGUCAAUAAAUAGGGGGAUUUUCUCUCAUUUUAAAACGACGAAAGUUCUAAACUUCUUCUUCUUUUGCAUAAUUAAAUAAUCGUGUACUUUAUGCUCCUGUUGAAUGACUUACUGAUACCAUUGUUUUUGUAUUAAUACACUGGUGAAUAAAAUCAUUCUAUCCUGAGAGGAUCAAUUCCUUUAAACCUCAAGUACUAGAGGUGAAAUAAUUUCCUUAAGGGGGUUGUGUUUUCAGUGGACUCAAUUUUUUCUUUAUGUUUCAUUCUAUUGUUAUAGGAUUUGGUAUAUUUUUUACAGUUAUUUAUUUAUGCUUAUGCCAUUAAUUGCUAUUUUUAUUACAUGCUUUAAAAUUUAUUGUUUAUGUUUCUGCAAAAUUAUUAUUUGUUAUAUAAGUACUUUGUUUUAAACGUUUUUGAAAAAUAUUAUAUUUAUAUAUUUUGACUUUUUUGGAGUCGCCAUUUAAUUUUAAAAAGAAAAUAAGAAAAAACUAUAUUUUCAAAAGACUUAAACAGAAAAAUCAUUUUGAAACUUUAAAGGGGUUCCGAAAUUCCUAUUUAUAUUUUAGGAAAAUUUACGGAACCUAAAAUAUUUACUAACUCGUAAUUAUCCAACAACUAACUCGUUUGGCUAAAAGAUCUUACUUUAAUUUUAAGAUGAAAUUAAAUAAGGUUGCUUUAAAAAUUAAGUAUUAAUCAUACUAUCUAAGUGAGUUAUAAUUCGUAAAAUUUACUUUUAAGUCAUUUGCUUGGUUUGAUUAAAUUAAGUUGUUUAAAACAAAAUAGCGUCUUGCGGGAUUUCGAUUCAUUAACCCUAAGAUUAUUGACAAUUAAAUAACACUAAUUAAGCAAAUACCGGGAGAGAGAGAGAGAGAGAGAGAGAGGGAGAUUGGGCCCAAACCUGGGUUCUAUCCGCCUGGACCGCAGUUUGGACUCAUUUCCGUUUGUAGGUGUUAGGCCCACUCGACUUGUACCUGUCCUAAACUAGUGAAAUAAAAAUAAGUAAACUUACAAGGCCUUAAGCCUAAAACUAACAAAAUACGACAUAAAUAAAUACAAAAUAUAGGUUUUUGGCCACCAAAAACUUCAACUAUUUAAUGGCUCCAUUUUCCUCGAUUUUGGGAAACUGUCCGUCAAUUUUAAAGUUGGGAGACUUGAUGGAGACGUUGAGCCUUUACAACUCUCGAAAAUGCGGGAAUAAAACGAAGUCCACGAGGACUUGGAUGGAUUUUUACAUGCAAACAAAGAAUAAUAAAGUGAAUAAUAAAUCUUGAUUCAAGGUGAGAGGAUGUCAAGUAGAGAAAGCAUAUAUGUUACUAUCCUUUAAUGCUAACACCGUAGAAAAAGACUACAAGGAUCAACUAAUGACUAAAUGAUUUUAAAAAAUCACGUAACCUAAUAAAAACCGACAAUGAGUAUCAAGAGAAUAAAUAAAUUUUCCAGCCAUGGAUAACAAACGGCAAGGGGACUAAAGCAUACUCUUCAAAGCUAGAAAAAUUUAAAUGAAAAUGGCAAAUUAUCAAAGAAAAAUUGCAAUUAUGAUCUUCACAUUUAGAGCUAAGAUCAGAUUCCUUGUUAACUGCUAACCCAACAUAAUAUCCAGAAGCCAACAAACCAUUUGAGCAAAUUAGUCAAUAGAUCAAAGAUUCGCAACAUCGAACAACAUGCAGGGGACAUCAAAUGAACAUAACUACCGACCGAAUCAAGGGACACAUGACUACAUAUGCUAAGACGCUUCACACAAUAAAGAAAACACCAAAGCGUAGUGGUAGCUUAGGCAGUUAAGGCUAUUAGUGAUUAAAUGGACAAGGAACUGGGCAUAUUUAUGCUGACAAAAGCAGACCCUUAUGAUUGAUAUCAUUAAGCUUAAAAUGCAAUAAAUAUUUGGACAAAGACAUUGAGGAAACUGUGUAUCAAUAAAAAAACGCUUGAGUAUUUGAACAGAAAAUUUCAGCUGACCAGAUCAGUAAAAUGUUCCUAUUUUUGCAGAAAAUUUCAGACAUGGAUAAGGGAAGGUUUUUAGCGUUUUUUUUUUCACCACUUCAAGUGAAGGGAGAAAGUAGGCAUAGACAUGCAGAGAGACUACAUCAAGCUUCAGGACAAGAUUCACAUACCAAAUCACACAUUUGACAUCAAGCGAGAAAGAAUUAAAACUAAAUAUUAUCACGUCAUUACAAACGGAGAUAGACUAAGAUGAGUUGAACAUUUUGAGAAAUAAACCAAAUGCAAUCAUCAAAAUCUAGAAAUAAGCCAAAGGUUAACAAUUUUAAAGCUAGAAAACCUUUUCAAACACAUGUACACCAAGCAAAGAGAAAUAUACUUCUAUUUAGACUCCAAAACUAAUUAACCAACAGUCCAGUACUAAAUUUUCUGCAGUAGUAACAAACCAAAGAUCAAAAGAUCACAUCGAAAACAAAAUGUUUGCCAAAAGGCUAAGUAUGACUUAUUUGGAAAACGAACAUGCAAGAUGGCAAAGGAAACUCAAACCAGACAAAACUAAUAAGGCAAAAAACUCGAUAAGUGAGACAGUAGAGCUUGAAUAAAGUCUUAAGAACACAACAAUUGAUCAUGUAAUCUCAAUUGAAUGACGACAAUGGCAGUCAAACACAAUAGCCAUUUCAACAUAGAGAUACUUCAUUCGAGUGACUAGAAUAGAGAAUGAUAUAUUCGACAAAAUGAGAUAAGUUUAUUACCUCUUAUAGUGCAGCGAUUUUGGGAUGGUUGAUGAGUUCAGAGAGACACUUCCACUAACACAAAACUUGAACGUGAAUGCUCAAUCGGAUCCUACAAUGAAACUCAAAAAUGCGAAAAAGAGAGCCUCUACAAUAUGUUCUAUGAAGGAUUAUGGCGUUGGAGUUUUCUCUCUACUUUGUUCGAGAAAAAAAAAUGUCCAACCAAAAAGAAAAUAUCUAAUAACUUGCCUUUUUCAAAAAUUUCUCCCUCUUCCUCCUCCGUUUUUGUUUUUAGAAUUAUCAGGACUAAAAUUUUCUCUCCCUUCUCCAAAAAAUCUCCUCCUCAGCAGAAGUUCAAAAGAAAAUUUAUAUAGGAACGAAAACAGGGUUUAGAAGGGGAAGAGGUGAGGGUAGAAUUAGGUAAGGCCAAGAACCAAUUUAAAUUUUGAAAACCCCAAAUCCUUUUACCAUUUCAGGAUGAAUACUUUUUCUGACGAUUCCAAACCAUUCCGAAACGGGAAAGUAGAAUGGACGACUUGGACUCAACUUCUAUGUCCUUGGCUUCGACGUGUCUUAAUCUCAUGCCACCAGAGGACAAAGGCGUGCUCCUUUUGCUGCUUGGGUCGUACGAAAUGGAAAGGAGCGGGAGGAAGAAAACAAAAAAUCGCAGUGUACUGACCUUUUUAUCCUUGCUCUUCCGUUGUACUCGCUUUCAUUGUUCACGUGUGGUACGCAUCGACACUUUCCGGGUUGUCUCGCUGCACGAGGCGUCGUUCCUCCUCCGUUCGCACCAUUUGGGACUGCUGUUGGUGUCACACUUUUUAAAUUUCUCUUUGGAAUUGGAAAAUAGGUUGGGUCAGGGCAAAUAAGGUGCGAUGGAAUUUGGGUAAUUAAAUGGAAAAAUUACUUAACUAUAUUCCUUUAAUUAUCUUAAGAAUCAUUUAUCUCUACUUAUUAUAAAAUUUUCAAAAAUUUCUUAUUCUCCCCAAUUAAAAAAAUAUGAAAGAUAAUUCUCA
RNAcentral lists this long non-coding RNA (15680 nucleotides) under Solanum lycopersicum (tomato). RNAcentral's name for it is "long non-coding RNA (SLYC_LNC000793)". Lineage: Eukaryota; Viridiplantae; Streptophyta; Magnoliopsida; Solanales; Solanaceae. The record is from RNAcentral.